RNAcentral lists this ribosomal RNA (168 nucleotides) under Synostemon bacciformis. Its description in RNAcentral is "5.8S ribosomal RNA". It matches the Rfam family "5.8S ribosomal RNA". From Rfam's summary of the family: 5.8S ribosomal RNA (5.8S rRNA) is a component of the large subunit of the eukaryotic ribosome. It is transcribed by RNA polymerase I as part of the 45S precursor that also contains 18S and 28S rRNA. Functionally, it is thought that 5.8S rRNA may be involved in ribosome translocation. The record is from RNAcentral. Lineage: Eukaryota; Viridiplantae; Streptophyta; Magnoliopsida; Malpighiales; Phyllanthaceae.
AACCAAAACGACUCUCGGCAACGGAUAUCUCGGCUCUCGCAUCGAUGAAGAACGUAGCGAAAUGCGAUACUUGGUGUGAAUUGCAGAAUCCCGUGAACCAUCGAGUUUUUGAACGCAAGUUGCGCCCAAAACCUUCGGGUCGAGGGCACGUCUACCUGGGUGUCACGC